AGAGUUUGAUCAUGGCUCAGGAUGAACGCUGGCGGCGUGCCUAAUACAUGCAAGUCGAGCGAACGGACGAGAAGCUUGCUUCUCUGAUGUUAGCGGCGGACGGGUGAGUAACACGUGGAUAACCUACCUAUAAGACUGGGAUAACUUCGGGAAACCGGAGCUAAUACCGGAUAAUAUUUUGAACCGCAUGGUUCAAAAGUGAAAGACGGUCUUGCUGUCACUUAUAGAUGGAUCCGCGCUGCAUUAGCUAGUUGGUAAGGUAACGGCUUACCAAGGCAACGAUGCAUAGCCGACCUGAGAGGGUGAUCGGCCACACUGGAACUGAGACACGGUCCAGACUCCUACGGGAGGCAGCAGUAGGGAAUCUUCCGCAAUGGGCGAAAGCCUGACGGAGCAACGCCGCGUGAGUGAUGAAGGUCUUCGGAUCGUAAAACUCUGUUAUUAGGGAAGAACAUAUGUGUAAGUAACUGUGCACAUCUUGACGGUACCUAAUCAGAAAGCCACGGCUAACUACGUGCCAGCAGCCGCGGUAAUACGUAGGUGGCAAGCGUUAUCCGGAAUUAUUGGGCGUAAAGCGCGCGUAGGCGGUUUUUUAAGUCUGAUGUGAAAGCCCACGGCUCAACCGUGGAGGGUCAUUGGAAACUGGAAAACUUGAGUGCAGAAGAGGAAAGUGGAAUUCCAUGUGUAGCGGUGAAAUGCGCAGAGAUAUGGAGGAACACCAGUGGCGAAGGCGACUUUCUGGUCUGUAACUGACGCUGAUGUGCGAAAGCGUGGGGAUCAAACAGGAUUAGAUACCCUGGUAGUCCACGCCGUAAACGAUGAGUGCUAAGUGUUAGGGGGUUUCCGCCCCUUAGUGCUGCAGCUAACGCAUUAAGCACUCCGCCCUGGGGAG
This 892-nucleotide ribosomal RNA is filed under the name Staphylococcus chromogenes. RNAcentral describes it as "bacterial SSU rRNA". It matches the Rfam family "Bacterial small subunit ribosomal RNA", at positions 9 to 873 of the family's 1533-position model. Lineage: Bacteria; Bacillati; Bacillota; Bacilli; Caryophanales; Staphylococcaceae. The record is from RNAcentral.